This 789-nucleotide ribosomal RNA is filed under the name uncultured bacterium. RNAcentral's name for it is "bacterial SSU rRNA". It matches the Rfam family "Bacterial small subunit ribosomal RNA", at positions 79 to 870 of the family's 1533-position model. The record is from RNAcentral.
CAAUACUUGAGCUAGAGUGUCGUACGGGUGCGUAACACGUAUGCAACCUACCUUUUACAGGAGUAUAGCUCCCCGAAAGGGGAAUUAACCCUCCAUAAUAUCAUUGGAUGGCAUCAUUUGAUGAUUAAAACUGAGGUGGUAAAAGAUGGGCAUGCGUCUGAUUAGUUAGUUGGCAGUGUAACGGACUACCAAGACGAUGAUCAGUAGGGGACCUGAGAGGGUGAUCCCCCACACUGGCACUGAGAUACGGGCCAGACUCCUACGGGAGGCAGCAGUAGGGAAUAUUGGACAAUGGGUGAGAGCCUGAUCCAGCCAUGCCGCGUGCAGGAAGAAGGCGUUAUGCGUUGUAAACUGCUUUUGCCAGGGGAUAAAACGGUUCUGCGGAACUAAUUGAAGGUACCUGGUGAAUAAGCCACGGCUAACUACGUGCCAGCAGCCGCGGUAAUACGUAGGUGGCAAGCGUUGUCCGGAUUUAUUGGGUUUAAAGGGUGCGUAGGCGGCCCUGUAAGUCAGUGCUGAAAUAUCCCGGCUUAACCGGGAGGGUGGCAUUGAUACUGCAGGGCUUGAGUACAGAUGAGGUAGGCGGAAUUGACGGUGUAGCGGUGAAAUGCAUAGAUAUCGUCAAGAACACCGAUAGCGAAGGCAGCUUACCAAGCUGUAACUGACGCUGAGGCACGAAAGUGUGGGGAUCAAACAGGAUUAGAUACCCUGGUAGUCCACACUGUAAACGUUGAUGACUCGAUGUUGGCGAUAUACAGCCAGCGUCCAAGAGCAAUCGUUAAGUCAUCC